AAAAAAACAACCUGAUUUACUUUUAAUAAAGUUAGCUCUAGGACCAGAGCAGCUGCAGUUUAGAUUGUAAUUUCUUUCUUGGGUAACUGGAGAUAGUUUACUGAAAGCAGACAAGGAAGCGUAAAAAGAAUCUGAACACCCUUUCUUUCCUCAACAGGUCCUGCUUUCUCAUCUACAACUGAAGGUUGCAUCUUUCCUUAAAAGCCAUUAACGGUCAUCUACUGUCCAUGGGGCGGAGGUGGAGCUGAUUCAUACAGAAUUUGAGAAUCUUGCCUUGCUUACCAUCUAAAGAUGACUCAAAAGCUUCUUACAUCCAAAUGAAACGUCUCACUUCGUUCGUAAAGAAUGUGGCAUCUUUAGGGUUGAAAUCCUGUAAUGACCCUAAAGCAGAUAAGAGCAGAGCGGCCUCUACACCCAGGGAUAAGGAGCACGAGCAAUCACUAGGUGCCAAGGAGUUUGAAACGGAGCCCGGC
This 473-nucleotide long non-coding RNA is filed under the name Homo sapiens (human). RNAcentral describes it as "HSALNT0126954". The record is from RNAcentral. Lineage: Eukaryota; Metazoa; Chordata; Mammalia; Primates; Hominidae.